UACGUAGGGACAGAGCGUUGUCCGGAAUCAUUGGGCGUAAAGCGCGUGUAGGCGGCAGGGUAUGUCGGAUGUGAAAUCCCGUGGCUCAACCACGGAAGUGCACCCGAAACUACCCGGCUAGAGUCUCGGAGAGGAAGGCGGAAUGCUUGGUGUAGAGGUGAAAUUCGUAGAUAUCAAGCGGAACACCGGUGGCGAAGGCGGCCUUCUGGACGAUGACUGACGCUGAGACGCGAAAGCGUGGGGAGCAAACAGG
This 253-nucleotide ribosomal RNA is filed under the name uncultured bacterium. RNAcentral's name for it is "partial 16S ribosomal RNA". It matches the Rfam family "Bacterial small subunit ribosomal RNA", at positions 524 to 776 of the family's 1533-position model. The record is from RNAcentral.